CCUACGGGCUGCAGCAGUGGGGAAUAUUGCACAAUGGGCGCAAGCCUGAUGCAGCCAUGCCGCGUGUAUGAAGAAGGCCUUCGGGUUGUAAAGUACUUUCAGCGGGGAGGAAGGCGAUAAGGUUAAUAACCUUGUCGAUUGACGUUACCCGCAGAGGAAGCACCGGCUAACUCCGUUCCAGCAGCCGCGGUAAUACGGAGGGUGCAAGCGUUAAUCGGAAUUACUGGGCGUAAAGCGCACGCAGGCGGUCUGUCAAGUCGGAUGUGAAAUCCCCGGGCUCAACCUGGGAACUGCAUUCGAAACUGGCUGGCUAGAGUCUUGUAGAGGGGGGUAGAAUUCCAGGUGUAGCGGUGAAAUGCGUAGAGAUCUGGAGGAAUACCGGUGGCGAAGGCGGCCCCCUGGACAAAGACUGACGCUCAGGUGCGGAAGCGUGGGGAGCAAACAGGAUUAGAUACCCCAGUAGUC
This 465-nucleotide ribosomal RNA is filed under the name uncultured bacterium. RNAcentral's name for it is "bacterial SSU rRNA". It matches the Rfam family "Bacterial small subunit ribosomal RNA", at positions 338 to 795 of the family's 1533-position model. The record is from RNAcentral.